Colletotrichum lupini is the source of this 95-nucleotide non-coding RNA. Lineage: Eukaryota; Fungi; Ascomycota; Sordariomycetes; Glomerellales; Glomerellaceae. The record is from the annotation of a RefSeq genome assembly.
GGUCUAUUAGUCUAGUUGGUUAGGACGUCGGAUUCUGAUUCACAAUUGAAAAUCAGUUCCUUCCGUAAGCCCAGGUUCGAAUCCUGGAUGGACCU